This 153-nucleotide ribosomal RNA is filed under the name Listeria ivanovii. Its description in RNAcentral is "16S rRNA. Bacterial SSU". It matches the Rfam family "Bacterial small subunit ribosomal RNA", at positions 1 to 146 of the family's 1533-position model. Lineage: Bacteria; Bacillati; Bacillota; Bacilli; Caryophanales; Listeriaceae. The record is from RNAcentral.
AUUUUAAAGAGAGUUUGAUCCUGGCUCAGGACGAACGCUGGCGGCGUGCCUAAUACAUGCAAGUCGAACGAACGGAGGAAGAGCUUGCUCUUCCAAAGUUAGUGGCGGACGGGUGAGUAACACGUGGGCAACCUGCCUGUAAGUUGGGGAUAA